ACAGUCCUGCUAUCUCUGCUCUCUACCCUAAACCUUCACCACAGCUCUGUUCUUCAUGACUUUAUCACCUGGUGUGAGGGCGCCUGUCUCCAGCUGAACUCAACAAAAACUAAAGAGGUGAUUGUGACAUUCUCCAGCAAGCAGAGACAACUGGCAGAGGCCAUCACUACCUUCAUCUGGGGGGAACCUGUAGAGGUGGUGGAGGAAUACAGGAUCCUACAUGACCCCUCACACACUCUCCCAUCAGGCCGCUGGCUGCGCUGUCCACGCUGCAGAACACAAAGGAGGAGGGCCACCUUUGUCCCCGCAGCAGUCCAGCUUCUGAACUCUGACUCUUCCCUGUCCCAACAUCACUGACUCUCAACUGACUGAAUGCACACAGCACACAGCAGUUUAUCAUAACGCACUUUGACUGUGACGGUCACUGAAAAUACUGACUAUAGCACUUUAUGUGAUUUGAUGUUGAUAUUCUGUUGGUCCAUUUUUCCUCAUGCCUUUUCAGUUGCCCCUUGGGGACAAAUAAAAUGUUUUGAAUUGAAUUGAAUUUGUCUAUUGGUUUUAGAACCUCUACAUCGUCAAAAUAAAGUUGUAUCUGUAAGGAAACAAACUGUG
Molecule: long non-coding RNA, 612 nt
Organism: Acanthopagrus latus (yellowfin seabream)
Lineage: Eukaryota; Metazoa; Chordata; Actinopteri; Spariformes; Sparidae
Exons: 2
Source: RefSeq, a predicted model, not a curated record